GCGGGCGUGCUGGAACGGGAGACAGGCGCGGUUCAGGGCCGUGUGCUCGAAAGAGCGUGGAGGUUCGAAUCCUCUCGCCCGCA
Molecule: transfer RNA, 83 nt
Filed under: Actinomycetota bacterium
Lineage: Bacteria; Bacillati; Actinomycetota
Description: tRNA-Leu
Rfam family: tRNA
About the family: Transfer RNA (tRNA) molecules are approximately 80 nucleotides in length. Their secondary structure includes four short double-helical elements and three loops (D, anti-codon, and T loops).
Source: RNAcentral